AACGAACGCUGGCGGCAGGCCUAACACAUGCAAGUCGAACGCUUCAGCAAUGAAGAGUGGCAGACGGGUGAGUAACGCGUGGGAACCUUCCCAGUGGUACGGAAUAGCCCAGGGAAACUUGGGGUAAUACCGUAUAAGCCCUUCGGGGGAAAGAUUUAUCGCCAUUGGAUGGGCCCGCGUCGGAUUAGCUUGUUGGUGAGGUAAAAGCUCACCAAGGCGACGAUCCGUAGCUGGUCUGAGAGGACGAUCAGCCACACUGGGACUGAGACACGGCCCAGACUCCUACGGGAGGCAGCAGUGGGGAAUAUUGGACAAUGGGCGCAAGCCUGAUCCAGCCAUGCCGCGUGAGUGACGAAGGCCUUAGGGUUGUAAAGCUCUUUUGGCGGGGACGAUAAUGACGGUACCCGCAGAAUAAGCUCCGGCUAACUUCGUG
RNAcentral lists this ribosomal RNA (433 nucleotides) under uncultured bacterium. RNAcentral describes it as "bacterial SSU rRNA". It matches the Rfam family "Bacterial small subunit ribosomal RNA", at positions 29 to 507 of the family's 1533-position model. The record is from RNAcentral.